Molecule: unclassified non-coding RNA, 2669 nt
Filed under: Leishmania donovani
Lineage: Eukaryota; Euglenozoa; Kinetoplastea; Trypanosomatida; Trypanosomatidae
Description: gene:LdHU3.16.0990(CDS-product:hypothetical_prote in_conserved)
Source: RNAcentral
UAUCGCUUCCAGGGGAGGCGCUCUCUCUUCUCCUGUGCGCGUGCGUGUGGAUGUGUGAGGCUGAGCGUGUCCGCUCCCUCCUCACGUACGCACUCGGCAGAUGCGUGUGUGCUCUCACACGCACACACGCGAGAGAGCACAUACAUACACAGCAGCAAAGGAAGGCCGCUGUGUUCUCCGUCAUGUUCGUCUUGCGCAUCGCCGGCGACGUGGACGGCUUCAAGCGCAACAUCGAGGUGUCUUUUUCACAUCGCCCGUCUCUUCAGCAAGUGUGCACCGUCGCGGAGGCGAUUCUUCCACUGCGAGAGCGGAGUGGUCGCCGGCUGUGGCGCUCAACGUGGGUGUCAGCAACGCAGGAUGCGGGAGACGACACCGCUAGCACUGCAGCGUCUUUCAGAGCUCCAGUUGAUGCCAGCCCGCGCGCCGCAGCACCGGCGGCCAUAUAUACUGUUGAGUCACUGGUUUACUUGAACAGGGCCACUCAUGAGUGGGAAGGGCUUUACAGCGCCUCUCAGCUCACGUCGGGGUCACAGGUGUACUGCUUCUUCCCUCUGCAGCAUCGUCGGGUGGCCGCGGCCAUAGGGAGAGGCUCGAGCACUGCGCUCCCCUCCUCGUCCUCUGCAUUUCCUGUACGAGAGGAGCACGUGAAUGAGGCCGAGUCGCCAAGCUUGCAGGCCUGCGCGAGUGUACCUGUCGGAAACGGGGUUCAACAGAGCCGGGCCGACCCCGAUAGCCCAGGCGCCAUUCCAGCGCCGCAGCAGCGCCUUGUCUGGGACUGCGCCAGUGGUGCUCGAGGUGGCGCUCGGCCGAGAUGGAAGGGCGUGGAUGGAGGCUUCAGUCACGUCGACUCUGCAUCUCCCUCGCCGAUGCAGGCAAGUGCGCGGAGCAGCAGUGAUGCGGCGCACGGCUUUGCCGCUGGACUGCGCCAAAGGCGCGUCUCGUCUUCUUUUUCGUCGUUUAGUCGCCGCCUCUCAUCCCUGUCACCCUCCAGCGGUGUUCCGUUCGGUGCCUCAGCGUGGUCAACCCUUUCGCCCACAGCAGGGACGGCACCUCGAGUGGUAUACAGGGCAAGCUCGCCGUCUUUUCGCUCCGCCCCCACCUUCUCCACCCCUCCCCGGCAUGUUGGCGCCGACUUUGUGUGCUCCGCGUCCCUGCCCACCCGCAAAGACUGCAGUGGUCUUGUGGAGGCGCAAGCCCAGAAGGCGUCACCAUCGCGGCGGCAUUCGACCUUGUCGCGGCUGCGCGAUGAUUGCAACAGUUUUCUCUCAGACUUGCACCAAGACUGGUCUGCGUUGCUGCUCAGCGGCGAGGGCGGGCGCGGCAACCGCUACGCCCAUCUCGGCGAUCGCCUGGCUUUUUUGUUCGACAUUUUGGUGCACCUUGACCCUCAAGAGGACGGCUCAGGGCAGCGGCAGUACAUCCUCUUGAGGGACUUCUAUCUCCUCGCCGCCUGCUUCACUUCCACUUUCACCGCUGCCGCUGCUCUUCCUCGCCCGACUUACGCUUCGAUGAGCGUCUAUGGCACGUCCAUCCCGUCGACGGUCAUGAACAUUACGGCAGAGCUGGAUGCACGGUUGCAUUGGACCUGGGACGAUGUCAUGCGACACGCGGACAAGGAUCGCGAUGGCUGCAUCGCGUACAGAGAGUGGAUCUCAUUCGGCAUCGAACACCCAGAGGUGAUUCAGCUGCUAUGCCGCGCUGUUCACACACUACUCCUGCGCGAGGCAGCUUCGUCAGGCAGUCAUUACGCCGACAGACACGCCAGCCCAGGUGCACAGACUCCGCUGUUAGCGCCUUCCGGUUACCUCUUCUCUCACUCCACCCCCUCCAUGAGGCAUGUGGGAGACAGGACUCGCAACAGCGAUGCCGAGCUUUUCUCAAGCGUCUUGCAAUGCUGCCGGAUGCAUCAAGGCCAGACCGGUGGCACAAACGCCGACAGAAUUAAAGUGAUGCGUGCCGCUGAAGUGCAUGGACGGCAUGCUGAGCGUUGCGAGGCGUGCCGCGAGAUGCAAGCCGAGCUCUCCGAGGGUUGCCGCGGCAGAGUAUCCGCGCAAACAAACAUUGCAUUCGCCCUGAGGCACUGAGAUGAGAGGCUACGUGUGCGCCUGUGGCGGUGGUGGUAGCGGUGGGGCUGCUUGGUGCAAGCUCUCGGUUCUCCUGAGUAGAGUUAAGCGCUCUCUAGCGUGUGUGGGAAGGGUGGCCACGUGUAUGCCGUGUGCGUGACCUGACGCGCGCAUCAGUGUAUGAAGCCGACGCUGCCCUCGGUGUCUUCUCCACGAACCUCGCUCGCGCUGUCGUCUACGGUCGCCGUUUUAUCAAAAUCGCCACGCAUUGAGGCGCUCCACUGAGAGCGCCAUACCUCCAUCUUUUCUAUACAUCACACAUGCGUACACACAUGCACACACAUACAUCAGGGAAUACCUCUCCUUGUCUGUUUAAGCGGGGUGCCUCGCUUACCUCCAUGCCGGCUCUGCUAGACUGCCGUUGGCUGCGCGAAGAAAAAAAUCCGCCCCGCCCCCUCCCCUAAACCACGCACACAAAGUGAAGUGCCGUCUCAUGGCUCUUUUCUCGCUCGAGAAGGCCUUUUCUUGUCUUGAGUGUGUCCCCGCUGCGCUCCCUCCCUCCCGCCGCGAACUUUCGGCACUGCACCGGGUGUGAACGCUGAGAGG